Plutella xylostella (diamondback moth) is the source of this 173-nucleotide long non-coding RNA. RefSeq lists it as uncharacterized. Lineage: Eukaryota; Metazoa; Arthropoda; Insecta; Lepidoptera; Plutellidae. The record is from RefSeq and is a predicted model, not a curated record.
AUAACGUAUUCAGGCGCCUUUAAUUCCGUUAGAAAAAUUGGAAGAACGAGUUGCAGCGGCUACAGGUGUGAGUGAAGCUGCGUACCUAUACCUUAGGCAGUAUACCAAGAAGAAUUUCUCGCACCUGCAGCGAUUUUAGACGAAAUAAUGAUGAUUAAUGACAUCUUCUUCUU